The sequence is a ribosomal RNA, 450 nucleotides long. It matches the Rfam family "Bacterial small subunit ribosomal RNA", at positions 57 to 520 of the family's 1533-position model.
GCAAGUCGAACGAUGAAGCCCAGCUUGCUGGGUGGAUUAGUGGCGAACGGGUGAGUAACACGUGAGUAACCUGCCCUUAACUCUGGGAUAAGCCUGGGAAACUGGGUCUAAUACCGGAUAGGAGCGCCGACCGCAUGGUGGGUGUUGGAAAGAUUUAUCGGUUUUGGAUGGACUCGCGGCCUAUCAGCUUGUUGGUGAGGUAAUGGCUCACCAAGGCGACGACGGGUAGCCGGCCUGAGAGGGUGACCGGCCACACUGGGACUGAGACACGGCCCAGACUCCUACGGGAGGCAGCAGUGGGGAAUAUUGCACAAUGGGCGCAAGCCUGAUGCAGCGACGCCGCGUGAGGGAUGACGGCCUUCGGGUUGUAAACCUCUUUCAGUAGGGAAGAAGCGAAAGUGACGGUACCUGCAGAAGAAGCACCGGCUAACUACGUGCCAGCACCGNCGG